RNAcentral lists this small nucleolar RNA (107 nucleotides) under Gossypium hirsutum (cotton). RNAcentral describes it as "Plant small nucleolar RNA R71". It matches the Rfam family "Plant small nucleolar RNA R71". Rfam says of the family: R71 is a member of the C/D box family of snoRNAs containing the C (UGAUGA) and D (CUGA) box motifs. Multiple nearly identical copies of this snoRNA have been identified in Arabidopsis, and it is thought to function as a 2'-O-ribose methylation guide for 18S ribosomal RNA. Lineage: Eukaryota; Viridiplantae; Streptophyta; Magnoliopsida; Malvales; Malvaceae. The record is from Rfam by way of RNAcentral.
AUUCUGUGAUGAGGGCACUUCUGUAUUAUUUCUUUGUAUAUUUCUCAUGCCUCAUACAAUGACUCAUCAUCCAUUUGUUGGAAAUGAGUGAUCUCAUUCCUCAACUU